This 254-nucleotide ribosomal RNA is filed under the name uncultured bacterium. RNAcentral's name for it is "partial 16S ribosomal RNA". It matches the Rfam family "Bacterial small subunit ribosomal RNA", at positions 524 to 776 of the family's 1533-position model. The record is from RNAcentral.
UACGGAGGGGGCAAGCGUUGUUCGGAUUUACUGGGCGUAAAGCGUAUGUAGGCGGUUUGGUAAGUUACUUGUGAAAUCUCCGAGCUUAACUCGGAACGGCCAAGUAAUACUGCUUUGACUAGAGUGCAGAAGGGGCAAUUGGAAUUCUUGGUGUAGCGGUGAAAUGCGUAGAUAUCAAGAGGAACACCAGAGGCGAAGGCGAAUUGCUGGGCUGACACUGACGCUGAGAUACGAAAGCUAGGGGAGCAAACAGG